GAACAUUUUCUCUUUUAGUAUUUCUCCAGUAGGUUUCUUGAAGGGGAAAACCUUU
Small nuclear RNA from Oncorhynchus mykiss (rainbow trout), 55 nucleotides. Its record names the gene U7. It matches the Rfam family "U7 small nuclear RNA". From Rfam's summary of the family: Animal histone pre-mRNAs are spliced by a different mechanism than nuclear pre-mRNAs and self-splicing introns. This processing involves the U7 snRNP, which contains only one RNA species: U7. NCBI's taxonomy places the organism in Eukaryota, Metazoa, Chordata, Actinopteri, Salmoniformes, Salmonidae. The record is from Ensembl.